GGCCCCAUCGUCUAGUGGCCUAGGACGUCGCCCUUUCACGGCGAAAACACGGGUUCGAGUCCCGUUGGGGUCACCA
This 76-nucleotide transfer RNA is filed under the name Sphingomonas sp. RNAcentral describes it as "tRNA-Glu". It matches the Rfam family "tRNA". From Rfam's summary of the family: Transfer RNA (tRNA) molecules are approximately 80 nucleotides in length. Their secondary structure includes four short double-helical elements and three loops (D, anti-codon, and T loops). Lineage: Bacteria; Pseudomonadati; Pseudomonadota; Alphaproteobacteria; Sphingomonadales; Sphingomonadaceae. RNAcentral also lists the same sequence under 5 other names. The record is from RNAcentral.